UUCCUGGUGGUCCAGUGGUUACGACUUUGUGCUCCCAAUGCAGGGGGCCCGGGUUCAAUCCCUGGUCAGGGAA
RNAcentral lists this transfer RNA (73 nucleotides) under Ovis aries (sheep). It matches the Rfam family "tRNA". Rfam says of the family: Transfer RNA (tRNA) molecules are approximately 80 nucleotides in length. Their secondary structure includes four short double-helical elements and three loops (D, anti-codon, and T loops). The record is from Rfam by way of RNAcentral. Lineage: Eukaryota; Metazoa; Chordata; Mammalia; Artiodactyla; Bovidae.